This 233-nucleotide ribosomal RNA is filed under the name uncultured bacterium. Its description in RNAcentral is "partial 16S ribosomal RNA". It matches the Rfam family "Bacterial small subunit ribosomal RNA", at positions 335 to 583 of the family's 1533-position model. The record is from RNAcentral.
CUUCCUACGGGACGCAGCAGUGGGGAAUAUUGGGCAAUGGGCGCAAGCCUGACCCAGCAACGCCGCGUGAAGGAAGAAGGCCCUCGGGUUGUAAACUUCUUUUCUAUAGGACGAAGAAGUGACGGUACUAUAGGAAUAAGCCACGGCUAACUACGUGCCAGCAGCCGCGGUAAUACGUAGGUGGCGAGCGUUAUCCGGAUUUACUGGGUGUAAAGGGCGUGUAGGCGGGAGAG